GACUCGGUGGCGCAACGGUAGCGCGUCUGACUCCAGAUCAGAAGGUGUCGCGUUCGAAUCACGUCCGGGUCA
This 72-nucleotide transfer RNA is filed under the name Rhipicephalus microplus (southern cattle tick). RNAcentral describes it as "tRNA-Trp". It matches the Rfam family "tRNA". From Rfam's summary of the family: Transfer RNA (tRNA) molecules are approximately 80 nucleotides in length. Their secondary structure includes four short double-helical elements and three loops (D, anti-codon, and T loops). Further hydrogen bonds mediate the characteristic L-shaped molecular structure. tRNAs have two regions of fundamental functional importance: the anti-codon, which is responsible for specific mRNA codon recognition, and the 3' end, to which the tRNAs corresponding amino acid is attached (by aminoacyl-tRNA synthetases). tRNAs cope with the degeneracy of the genetic code in two manners: having more than one tRNA (with a specific anti-codon) for a particular amino acid; and 'wobble' base-pairing, i.e. permitting non-standard base-pairing at the 3rd anti-codon position. The record is from Rfam by way of RNAcentral. Lineage: Eukaryota; Metazoa; Arthropoda; Arachnida; Ixodida; Ixodidae.